This is a long non-coding RNA of Aethalodelphis obliquidens (Pacific white-sided dolphin), 341 nucleotides long. RefSeq lists it as uncharacterized. The transcript has 3 exons. Lineage: Eukaryota; Metazoa; Chordata; Mammalia; Artiodactyla; Delphinidae. The record is from RefSeq and is a predicted model, not a curated record.
GUUACGGAAGGGAUAUGGAUUAGGGUCCGGGUUAGGGUAAGGGUUAGGAUUAUGGUUAGGGUUAGGGAAUGGGUAAGGUUUAGGUUACUAGUUAGGGUAUGAAAACGGGUUAGAGUUAGGGUACGUGUUAAGCUAUGGGUUAGUGUUAGUGUACGGGUUAGGAUUAUGGUACGGGUUAGGGUAUGAGUACAGGUGAGGUUUAGGGUACGUGUUAGGGUAUGGAAUAGUGGUAGUGGACGGGUUAGUAUUAGGGUACUGGUUAGGGUAAGGGGUUAGGGAUCGGGUACGGUUUAGGUACAGGUUAGGGUAAGAUAACGGGUUAGGCUUAGUGUAUGGGUUAG